UUUAAUUAAUAAAAAAUUUUAAAAUAUUAAAUGUUAAAUCAUUAAAUUUAAAAGACUUGGCGGUGUUUUAUAUGAUUAGAGGAACCUGUAAUUUAAUUGAUAAUCCACGAUAAGAAAAACUUAAUUUUAAAAUUUAUGUAUUGCUGUUUUAAAAAUUUAAUUAAGUAAAAAUUUUAUAAUUAUAAAUUUAAUUAAAUUCAAGUCAAAAUAUAGUUUAAUUAAGUAUUAUAUGGGUUACAAUUUAUUUUAAUUAUUGAGUAAUUUAAUUUAAUUUAAAUUAUAAAUAGUAUUUAACAGUAAAGUUAAUAAAUUAAUUAAUUUGAAAAUGUGAUAUAAAAUGUGU
RNAcentral lists this ribosomal RNA (343 nucleotides) under Polistes marginalis. RNAcentral's name for it is "partial 12S ribosomal RNA". The record is from RNAcentral. Lineage: Eukaryota; Metazoa; Arthropoda; Insecta; Hymenoptera; Vespidae.